CUACGGGAGGCUGCAGUGGGGAAUAUUGCACAAUGGAGGAAACUCUGAUGCAGCAACGCCGCGUGGAGGAUGACACUUUUCGGAGCGUAAACUCCUUUUAUAUAGGAAGAAGAUGACGGUACUAUAUGGAUAAGCGCCGGCUAACUCCGUGCCAGCAGCCGCGGUAAUACGGAGGGCGCAAGCGUUACUCGGAAUCACUGGGCGUAAAGAGCGUGUAGGCGGAUUAAAAAGUCAGAAGUGAAAUCCUAUAGCUUAACUAUAGAACUGCUUCUGAAACUCUUAAUCUAGAAUAUGGGAGAGGUAGAUGGAAUUUCCGGUGUAGGGGUAAAUUCCGUAGAGAUCAGAAGGAAUACCGAUUGCGAAGGCGAUCUACUAGAACAUUAUUGACGCUGAGACGCGAAAGCGUGGGGAGCAAACAGGAUUAGAUACCCUGGUAGUC
This 439-nucleotide ribosomal RNA is filed under the name uncultured bacterium. Its description in RNAcentral is "partial 16S ribosomal RNA". It matches the Rfam family "Bacterial small subunit ribosomal RNA", at positions 339 to 795 of the family's 1533-position model. The record is from RNAcentral.